ACGGGAGGCAGCAGUGGGGAAUAUUGGGCAAUGGAGGCAACUCUGACCCAGCAACGCCGCGUGAGUGAUGAAGGUCUUCGGAUUGUAAAACUCUUUAAGUAGGGACGAAGAAAGUGACGGUACCUACAGAAUAAGCCUCGGCUAACUACGUGCCAGCAGCCGCGGUAAUACGUAGGAGGCAAGCGUUAUCCGGAAUGACUGGGCGUAAAGGGUGCGUAGGUGGUUUGGCAAGUUGGUAGCGUAAUCCCGGGGCUUAACUUCGGUGCUACUACCAAAACUGCUGGGCUUGAGUGCAGGAGGGGUGAAUGGAAUUCCUAGUGUAGCGGUGGAAUGCGUAGAUAUUAGGAAGAACACCAGCGGCGAAGGCGAUUCACUGGACUGUAACUGACACUGAGGCACGAAAGCGUGGGGAGCAAACAGGAUUAGAUACCCUGGUA
RNAcentral lists this ribosomal RNA (437 nucleotides) under uncultured bacterium. RNAcentral's name for it is "bacterial SSU rRNA". It matches the Rfam family "Bacterial small subunit ribosomal RNA", at positions 341 to 792 of the family's 1533-position model. The record is from RNAcentral.